RNAcentral lists this ribosomal RNA (433 nucleotides) under uncultured bacterium. RNAcentral describes it as "partial 16S ribosomal RNA". It matches the Rfam family "Bacterial small subunit ribosomal RNA", at positions 29 to 507 of the family's 1533-position model. The record is from RNAcentral.
AACGAACGCUGGCGGCAUGCCUAACACAUGCAAGUCGAACGAGACCUUCGGGUCUAGUGGCGCACGGGUGCGUAACGCGUGGGAACCUGCCCUUAGGUUCGGAAUAACUCCCCGAAAGGGGUGCUAAUACCGGAUAAUGUCUUCGGACCAAAGAUUUAUCGCCUUUGGAUGGGCCCGCGUUGGAUUAGCUAGUUGGUAGGGUAAAAGCCUACCAAGGCGACGAUCCAUAGCUGGUCUGAGAGGAUGAUCAGCCACACUGGGACUGAGACACGGCCCAGACUCCUACGGGAGGCAGCAGUGGGGAAUAUUGGACAAUGGGCGAAAGCCUGAUCCAGCAAUGCCGCGUGAGUGAUGAAGGCCUUAGGGCUGUAAAGCUCUUUUACCCGGGAUGAUAAUGACAGUACCGGAAGAAUAAGCUCCGGCUAACUCCGUG